This 465-nucleotide ribosomal RNA is filed under the name Vreelandella stevensii. Its description in RNAcentral is "partial 16S ribosomal RNA". It matches the Rfam family "Bacterial small subunit ribosomal RNA", at positions 338 to 795 of the family's 1533-position model. Lineage: Bacteria; Pseudomonadati; Pseudomonadota; Gammaproteobacteria; Oceanospirillales; Halomonadaceae. The record is from RNAcentral.
CCUACGGGAGGCAGCAGUGGGGAAUAUUGGACAAUGGGGGGAACCCUGAUCCAGCCAUGCCGCGUGUGUGAAGAAGGCCCUCGGGUUGUAAAGCACUUUCAGUGAGGAAGAACGCCUGGUGGUUAAUACCCAUCAGGAAAGACAUCACUCACAGAAGAAGCACCGGCUAACUCCGUGCCAGCAGCCGCGGUAAUACGGAGGGUGCGAGCGUUAAUCGGAAUUACUGGGCGUAAAGCGCGCGUAGGUGGCUUGAUAAGCCGGUUGUGAAAGCCCCGGGCUCAACCUGGGAACGGCAUCCGGAACUGUCCAGCUUGAGUGCAGGAGAGGAAGGUAGAAUUCCCGGUGUAGCGGUGAAAUGCGUAGAGAUCGGGAGGAAUACCAGUGGCGAAGGCGGCCUUCUGGACUGACACUGACACUGAGGUGCGAAAGCGUGGGUAGCGAACAGGAUUAGAUACCCGUGUAGUC